GAAUCUGCCUGGUAGUGGGGGAUAACGUUCGGAAACGGACGCUAAUACCGCAUACGUCCUACGGGAGAAAGCAGGGGACCUUCGGGCCUUGCGCUAUCAGAUGAGCCUAGGUCGGAUUAGCUAGUUGGUGGGGUAAUGGCUCACCAAGGCGACGAUCCGUAACUGGUCUGAGAGGAUGAUCAGUCACACUGGAACUGAGACACGGUCCAGACUCCUACGGGAGGCAGCAGUGGGGAAUAUUGGACAAUGGGCGAAAGCCUGAUCCAGCCAUGCCGCGUGUGUGAAGAAGGUCUUCGGAUUGUAAAGCACUUUAAGUUGGGAGGAAGGGUUGUAGAUUAAUACUCUGCAAUUUUGACGUUACCGACAGAAUAAGCACCGGCUAACUCUGUGCCAGCAGCCGCGGUAAUACAGAGGGUGCAAGCGUUAAUCGGAAUUACUGGGCGUAAAGCGCGCGUAGGUGGUUUGUUAAGUUGGAUGUGAAAUCCCCGGGCUCAACCUGGGAACUGCAUUC
RNAcentral lists this ribosomal RNA (511 nucleotides) under uncultured bacterium. RNAcentral describes it as "bacterial SSU rRNA". It matches the Rfam family "Bacterial small subunit ribosomal RNA", at positions 122 to 628 of the family's 1533-position model. The record is from RNAcentral.